AUAUUUUGUUCAACAUAUACUUGAUUAGGUUCAACCAUGAGAGCCGUCAACCAUGGAAGCUGCUAAUCUCCGAAGAAGUCUAUUUUCACUACAUAACAUACCGAAAUCGAAGUUUUACUGUGUAUGAUUGGUGCCCAGAUCUUGUGAAGAUAAUGUUUUCUCGAACCGAAUGGCCAGUGUUUUCAGCAUAUUUGGAGGAAUUAUAGAACUACAAAGAAGAAUUCACAAGUUUCUCUUUAUCUUUCAUCUCCCAUAGAAGAUUAUAAUUGAUUUGAUGAUAUUUGAGACCAUGAAAACCUCCCAACACCCU
Molecule: small RNA, 310 nt
Filed under: Arabidopsis thaliana (thale cress)
Lineage: Eukaryota; Viridiplantae; Streptophyta; Magnoliopsida; Brassicales; Brassicaceae
Description: ATSL061920
Source: RNAcentral